GUUUUACUUAAGAUGUAAAAUAUGCUUUCAGUUAAGAAAAAAAUGACUUAAUAGUAAAGUAUAGGCUCAUCUCUGAAAAUAAGUCAUAAUAUUAAAUUGAGUAAAUGUAUCUUGUUUUAAAGAUGUUUGGAUAUUGUACUGAAAAAAAAAAAGUGUAUGACUACAGACAAUCCACACAUUCACAGCCCUGAGACUGUUUGCCAUGGAAUACAGAGGGAGCUGGAGAAAGAAACCGAAUGGCAAUGCACAUACUUCAAUGUGUGCGUUUGUAUGUGUGAGGUGCUUUUGUCCCGAAGAAGCACUGGAAUGAUAAAUGGGUGUCGCUGUGGAUAGAACACCAGAUGUUGAUCUUAAUGAGGAGCCAUGCAAGUUAAACAGUGGCAGGCAUAUGGGGCGGAGGGGACCCGAGUUUACCCCUCUCUCUCUCUUCCUCCAUAUGCUUAUUUGUAUCUCCUCCGUUAUGAAGUCACCCCACCUUUCUAAAGACCAACUGCAGCACCGUGUCCUUGGGGACAGUUCCUUAGCAACCGCAUCAAAACAAACAGACAGCUCGCCACUGUGAUGUAAAAUGAGAUCAAAAUGCGUGCGAAAGAAAGCCGGCAAUGCCGCAAUGGGAUUCAAGCAAAACCUACAGUGCAACAGGGGUCACUUUGUGUUUUUAUGGAGAAGGGGAGAGCGAGGAAUCGCUAUACUUCCAACACGUUUGCCAAAACAAAUGGAGAACAUCUCUUGCUCUCUCAGCUGCAAUAAUCUCAUUCCUGUUUGCAGGGGCUGCAGUGCCACAACCCUUCACAAUUGAGGAAAUGCUGAGAUCUGGAGAACAGCAUUUGGUAAACAAAACACUUACAUCUGGAAGACGACAAUAAUACAGUGAGAUGUAAGGCUGGUAUUCUUUAGAAAAAAAGAAGGCAUAAUACGAGCUGUGCUGGGUUUAAAAUGAGUCAGGCUGUGACUUGAGUGUAAAAGACCGAAGUGAAAAGGCCCGAACCUGGCAUCGACUUGUCUCCUUGUAUCUACUUUCUUGUUCAUGCCACGCUGGACAGCUGUAAUUUAACAGCGAGUGCUGUGACAAUAAAACAACUCUACAAAUCUCCAUUCCUGAAAGACCUUUCCCUUGUGACCAGAAAACCAGCAGCUGAGAAAUCCGCUCAUCUCCUCAAUAGAUCCUUUCUGUACGAGUGGCUACACUGCAAAAAAAUCAAUUUAUUAAUCAAGGUUUUGUCAUGUUAUCCAAAAUAAAUAUCUAAACAUCCUUAAAAGCAAG
Cyprinus carpio carpio is the source of this 1264-nucleotide long non-coding RNA. The record is from Ensembl. NCBI's taxonomy places the organism in Eukaryota, Metazoa, Chordata, Actinopteri, Cypriniformes, Cyprinidae.